GACGACGUGUUGACAAAUCUUUCGUCAUUUUACCUCGCGGAUUUUAAAUAUUGAUUACACGUUUAUUUUUUCAGAUAGAUCUCCAAAUAAAAUAAACGAUCUUAUUUAUUUAUCUUCGAAUGAUCAUAUAUAUAUAUAUGUAUGAUAUAGUGUUUAUAUUCAUUCUAAUAUUUUUGUUUCUGUAAAAAAGAAAAGGAAUAAAAUAAGGUAAUAUUCGUUUUCAUUAUUAGUAAUUAUUCAUAAGAUGCAACGUCAAUAAACAUCUUCGAAAUUUAUGACACCAUCAUUCAUUCUGUUACAAUAGGUAGAAAAGCAAACAAAAGACAAUACCCAUUAACUUUUAUACGUAACACCAUAACUGUUUCUCGUUAUAUAUUCCUUUUUUCGCAUCUGAUUUAUUUCUAACAAUUUCGAGAUCCAAUACAUAAUGGAAUUCAAAGAAACUGAUAAUGUCACAUUUUCGACAGACGUUUGGAAGCGUUCGAUCCUGCAGGAUCCACGAGGCAAGGCGGUGGUCCGUCGAGGAGUAUCAGCUGUUCGAAUUAUUAUCGUUGCAGGCGACGGCAGAUGUUCACUAGGCUAAAACGCUCCCCCGAAGGCUUUGAACCCGCUGAUCUCUUUUCUUUAGAGCGAGUGAAAAACUUUCAAGGAAGCCCAACGUCUCGUCCAAUCUUGCACAAUGCCUCGUUUUCACGAACGAGUGGAACCUAACCUAAAAAUUGGAAAACGACGAGAACGGUUUAGUGUCGUUUUCGUAUCGCAUCGAAAUAAAUCGAUCGUCUCUUCGAACGCACGCAAGUUAUUCGCGUCGAAGCCGAGCAUACAUAUACUUUCUAACGAUCUCGCUAGCAAUCUCGUUGUGAGGAUAACUCGACCAAUCUGGAUUCCCCGACAAUCGGGUACAACCUCCGUUUCGCAGCAUUGUUCGAAACCUGCCGUAAGUUACGUGUCACGAAGUAUAGGAUAUCAUCGUCGUCUGCGUUUGAAGGAGACCCCAUAGGUUCGUGGCACGCGCUGCCAGCUGCCCCACAGCUGUCUCUCUUCUCCUGUCGUCCCCCAUAUACGCGAGGCCCGGGGUUCUUACCCGGCCGUAGUGCAUUUACCACACGGAACGGGGCCCUUCUCGCCUCUGUAUAUAUAUAUAUAUAUAUAUAUAUAUGCAUGCGCACCGAAUUCAAAACGCGUGUAUUUCGUGGGCUACGUACCUACGUACGUUGUCACGUAGUUGCAUACUCGAUGAGGUAGGUGCACCCUUAAGGAAAGACGCUCUUAUUGUGAACAAGAAGAGGAGAUCAGCCUUUCACGAAUUUUCAAAUAUGUCUUCUAAUAUUUCACCUUUUCUUUCUUAAUUCAAUCUUGGUGUCUUUUCUUGCGAGAAUCUUAAGAAACAAGUUUCUUUCAAAAUGGAAACGCAAUUUUAAAAAUUAAUCGUUCCUUCUUUUUCUUCUUUAUCUAUUUCGGUAGCUAGAUAUUCACCUUAUCGUUAAAACAUUCUGCAGGGUUUUGCAUUUGCGGUUUCCCAUCCGGCCGGCCCGACACGCAGGAAAUAGUCCUGAAGUGUCCUAGAGGAUGCAAGGCUAUUAGGUUUCGCGUGGAAAAAAGCGACGUGGUAGAAGAAAGGCGGGCGGGCGGACGGGCGGCGGAGGAGGGGGAAGGAGGGGCGUUGACGGCAGAGGGCGUAAGUGGACGGUACCGUGAAAGUAUAUAGAAAGGAAAAGGGAGAAAAACAAAAAAAAAAAAAAAAAAAAAAAAAAAG
This 1756-nucleotide long non-coding RNA is filed under the name Apis mellifera (honey bee). RNAcentral describes it as "uncharacterized LOC102654990". The record is from RNAcentral. Lineage: Eukaryota; Metazoa; Arthropoda; Insecta; Hymenoptera; Apidae.